Molecule: ribosomal RNA, 301 nt
Filed under: uncultured bacterium
Lineage: Bacteria
Description: partial 16S ribosomal RNA
Rfam family: Bacterial small subunit ribosomal RNA
Source: RNAcentral
CAGUCGCCGACGGUAAUACGGAGGGUGCAAGCGUUAAUCGGAAUUACUGGGCGUAAAGCGCACGCAGGCGGUCUGUCAAGUCAGAUGUGAAAUCCCCGGGCUUAACCUGGGAACUGCAUUUGAAACUGGCAGGCUAGAGUCUUGUAGAGGGGGGUAGAAUUCCAGGUGUAGCGGUGAAAUGCGUAGAGAUCUGGAGGAAUACCGGUGGCGAAGGCGGCCCCCUGGACAAAGACUGACGCUCAGGUGCGAAAGCGUGGGGAGCAAACAGGAUUAGAUACCCCGGUAGUCCCUGUCUCUUAUU